CGUAGGGUGCGAGCGUUAAUCGGAAUUACUGGGCGUAAAGCGUGCGCAGGCGGUUUUGUAAGACAGAUGUGAAAUCCCCGGGCUCAACCUGGGACCUGCAUUUGUGACUGCAAGGCUAGAGUACGGUAGAGGGGGAUGGAAUUCCGCGUGUAGCAGUGAAAUGCGUAGAUAUGCGGAGGAACACCGAUGGCGAAGGCAAUCCCCUGGACCUGUACUGACGCUCAUGCACGAAAGCGUGGGGAGCAAACAGGAUUAGAUACCCUGGUAGUCCACGCCCUAAACGAUGUCAACUGGUUGUUGGGUCUUUACUGACUCAGUAACGAAGCUAACGCGUGAAGUUGACCGCCGUGGGGAGUACGGCCGCAAGGUUG
RNAcentral lists this ribosomal RNA (371 nucleotides) under uncultured organism. RNAcentral's name for it is "bacterial SSU rRNA". It matches the Rfam family "Bacterial small subunit ribosomal RNA", at positions 526 to 896 of the family's 1533-position model. The record is from RNAcentral.